This 253-nucleotide ribosomal RNA is filed under the name uncultured bacterium. RNAcentral's name for it is "partial 16S ribosomal RNA". It matches the Rfam family "Bacterial small subunit ribosomal RNA", at positions 524 to 776 of the family's 1533-position model. The record is from RNAcentral.
UACGUAGGGGGCAAGCGUUGUCCGGAUUUAUUGGGCGUAAAGAGCGUGUAGGCGGCCAGGUAGGUCUGCUGUGAAAACUCGAGGCUUAACCUCGAGCUGUCGGCGGAAACCAUCUGGCUAGAGUCCGGAAGAGGAGAAUGGAAUUCCCGGUGUAGCGUUGAAAUGCGCAGAUAUCGGGAAGAACACCCGUGGCGAAGGCGGUUCUCUGGGACGGUACUGACGCUGAGACGCGAAAGCGUGGGGAGCGAACAGG